RNAcentral lists this ribosomal RNA (102 nucleotides) under Geobacillus stearothermophilus. RNAcentral describes it as "partial 16S ribosomal RNA". It matches the Rfam family "Bacterial small subunit ribosomal RNA", at positions 1441 to 1533 of the family's 1533-position model. Lineage: Bacteria; Bacillati; Bacillota; Bacilli; Caryophanales; Anoxybacillaceae. The record is from RNAcentral.
CAAGGGAGCCAGCCGCCGAAGGUGGGGCAAGUGAUUGGGGUGAAGUCGUAACAAGGUAGCCGUACCGGAAGGUGCGGCUGGAUCACCUCCUUUCUAAGGGGA